UCUAUUCCAUGAGGUGCGGUCGCGGCCCUCGGCGGGAGCAACAGCUGCCGUCGGGCGGUAGAGGUAACACUUUCACGCGCCGCAUGUCUGAAUCCUUUUUUUACGAGCACCUUUCGUUCUCCUUCGGCGGGGCAACCUGCCGUUGGAACCUAUCAAAACCUUUUUUUUGCAUCUAGCAUUACCUGUUCUGAUACAAACAAUCGUUA
Molecule: unclassified non-coding RNA, 206 nt
Filed under: uncultured fungus
Lineage: Eukaryota; Fungi
Description: sequence contains ITS1, 5.8S rRNA gene
Source: RNAcentral